AUACGGAAGGUCCGGGCGUUAUCCGGAUUUAUUGGGUUUAAAGGGAGCGCAGGCGGAGAUGCAAGCGUGACGUCAAAUUUCGGGGCUCAACCCCGUCUCGCGUCGCGAACUGCGUCCCUUGGUUGCGGGAAGGGGAGGCGGAACUCGUGGUGUAGCGGUGAAAUGCAUAGAUAUCACGAAGAACUCCGAUCGCGAAGGCAGCCUUCCGGUCCGUCAACGACGCUCAUACUCGAAGGUGCGGGUAUCAAACAGGAUUAGAUACCCUGGUAGUCCGCACAGUAAACGAUGGACACCCGCGGUUUGGCCUAUAUGGCUGAGCCGCCAAGCGAAAGCGUUAAGUGUCCCACCUGGGGAGUACGCCGGCAACGGUGAAACUCAAAUGAAUUGGCGGGG
RNAcentral lists this ribosomal RNA (393 nucleotides) under uncultured bacterium. RNAcentral's name for it is "partial 16S ribosomal RNA". It matches the Rfam family "Bacterial small subunit ribosomal RNA", at positions 523 to 918 of the family's 1533-position model. The record is from RNAcentral.